Molecule: small nuclear RNA, 104 nt
Filed under: Castor canadensis (American beaver)
Lineage: Eukaryota; Metazoa; Chordata; Mammalia; Rodentia; Castoridae
Source: RNAcentral
GUGCUCACUUCAGCUGCACAUAUACUGAAAUUGGAAAAAUACAGAGAUUAGCAUGGCCCCUGGGCAAGGAUGAAAAACAAAUUUGUGAAGCAUUCCAUAUUUUU